Molecule: long non-coding RNA, 1387 nt
Organism: Oncorhynchus tshawytscha (Chinook salmon)
Lineage: Eukaryota; Metazoa; Chordata; Actinopteri; Salmoniformes; Salmonidae
Source: Ensembl
CGUCAGUAGGAAGGAACUUGGUACUGUUGCAAAUACUUGAUAAAUGUGACCCUGAUCAAUUGAUUAGCAAUGUUAUGUAAUGAUUUGUGUGUCUCAGGUCAACCUCCCCAGUUGUUUCUCAGAUACCAGUUACUACUCUCCCAGUCAGACCACACAACUCCCAGGCUACUGCUAGCUGGAGCCACUCUGACAACAAGGCCACAAGGACAUUCAGUGAACCCCCCAUGAAAGCACCACCCUCCUUCCCAAAACAGACUGACACUAGCUUGCCCCCCCUGGGACAACGGUUUGAUUUCUUCUCAAAGACGACUACCCCAAACAAUGACACUGUGACUGGCAAAAGGCUCCAGGGAGAGGAUUACAGCAAGGAAGUGGAGGCAUUCAUGGGGAUAUUUGAUGGACUAUUUUAGUAGUGUUUGUAGUUGUAUGCACUAUUUCCAUGAUAAUGUUUCAUGGUGAUUUGUCAUGUUAUUGUGUAUGUAAUUUUGUUAUACUGUUAUUUAUACUGUUUGUUGUUUGGGAUUCACUGUUAGAUUUACUGUUGGUCCUAUUUGAAAAUGUUUAUCUAGGAGUAUGAACUUUCAAUCUUCUUUAGCAGGAUUCCAAAAAUGUAAUAUUUUGUGUACUUUAUUAAAUGAACACAAUAUUUAUUCAGAGGAAGUCUGAGGGUGUAGAGAGCAAUAGUAAUGGUGUCAUGGACCAUAUAAUGGUGUUUUAUUCCCUUUAGUGGACUGUCUUUAAAUUGCAGCUUGUAGCUGCACUUCCUGUGCUCACAAGGGGAGAAGACAGUAGGGGAUGUAACUCUGAGCUGGAUGUAACAUGCAGUAUAGCAUCCAGCUCAGAGUUACAUCCAGUAUCCAUAUCAGUUACAUCAAGCUCACAGUUACAUCCAGGAUCUGACUCAUAGUUUCAUCCAGCAUCCUGCUGCACUUCCUGUGCUUGCGAUGGGAGAAGAUGAAGAAUCCAGAAAGCAGUUGGUUGUUGUUACCUAAAAGUUCCCACCUUCUUCAUCCUGUAUUUGAUAGCCCUUAUGCUGGCACCAUCUGUAAGUAUUUACAUUUCUGUAUGUUUUUAUAUGCUUACAUGUUAUCAAGUAAUUUCCUACUUUUCGCCUCAUCAAAUAUUGCUAGCCAAACAGUCCUAACCGUUAGCGGUCAACCAUUAGCCAUUGCCAUAGAGAUGUAUUGUUUAGCCCAGCUGUUCACUAGCCCCAUUCAAAUGUGCAGUGCAUUCGGAAAGUAUUUAGACCCCUUGACUUUUUCCACAUUUUGUUACAUUUUGUUACAUUCUUAUUCUAAAAUUGAUUAAAUUGCUUUUUUUCCUUCAUCAAUCUACACACAAUACCCCAUAAUGACAAAGCAAAAACAGGUUUUUAGAUAAAAACUUU